This 466-nucleotide ribosomal RNA is filed under the name uncultured bacterium. Its description in RNAcentral is "partial 16S ribosomal RNA". It matches the Rfam family "Bacterial small subunit ribosomal RNA", at positions 28 to 507 of the family's 1533-position model. The record is from RNAcentral.
GAUGAACGCUGGCGGCGUGCUUAACACAUGCAAGUCGAACGGAAAGGCUCCUGCUUGCAGGGGUACUCGAGUGGCGAACGGGUGAGUAACACGUGGGUGAUCUGCCCUGCACUUCGGGAUAAGCCUGGGAAACUGGGUCUAAUACCGGAUAGGACGAUGGUUUGGAUGCCAUUGUGGAAAGUUUUUUCGGUGUGGGAUGAGCUCGCGGCCUAUCAGCUUGUUGGUGGGGUAAUGGCCUACCAAGGCGUCGACGGGUAGCCGGCCUGAGAGGGUGUACGGCCACAUUGGGACUGAGAUACGGCCCAGACUCCUACGGGAGGCAGCAGUGGGGAAUAUUGCACAAUGGGCGCAAGCCUGAUGCAGCGACGCCGCGUGGGGGAUGACGGCCUUCGGGUUGUAAACUCCUUUCGCUAGGGACGAAGCGCAAGUGACGGUACCUGGAGAAGAAGCACGGGCUAACUACGUG